GCCUUUGGCUAGACUGGACUACGUGCAUGUGAUCUCAGAAGCUAAACAAGCCUGGGCCCAGUUAGUACCUGGAUGGGAGACCGCCUGAGAAUCCUGGGUGCCGUAGGCC
RNAcentral lists this ribosomal RNA (109 nucleotides) under Alligator mississippiensis (American alligator). The record is from RNAcentral. Lineage: Eukaryota; Metazoa; Chordata; Crocodylia; Alligatoridae.